RNAcentral lists this ribosomal RNA (437 nucleotides) under uncultured bacterium. RNAcentral describes it as "bacterial SSU rRNA". It matches the Rfam family "Bacterial small subunit ribosomal RNA", at positions 364 to 793 of the family's 1533-position model. The record is from RNAcentral.
UUGCACAAUGGGCGCAAGCCUGAUGCAGCCAUGCCGCGUGUAUGAAGAAGGCCUUCGGGUUGUAAAGUACUUUCAGCAGUGAGGAAGGCAGGUACGUUAAUAGCGUGCUUGUUUGACGUUAGCUGCAGAAGAAGCACCGGCUAACUCCGUGCCAGCAGCCGCGGUAAUACGGAGGGUGCGAGCGUUAAUCGGAAUUACUGGGCGUAAAGCGCAUGCAGGUGGUUUGUUAAGUCAGAUGUGAAAGCCCGGGGCUCAACCUCGGAAUUGCAUUUGAAACUGGCAGACUAGAGUACUGUAGAGGGGGUAGAAUUUCAGGUGUAGCGGUGAAAAUGCGUAGAGAUCUGAAGGAAUACCGGUGGCGAAGGCGGCCCCCUGGACAGAUACUGACACUCAGAUGCGAAAGCGUGGGGAGCAAACAGGAUUAGAUACCCUGGUAG